CGGGUGAGUAACACGUGGGUGAUCUGCCCUGCACUUUGGGAUAAGCCUGGGAAACUGGGUCUAAUACCGGAUAGGACCAUGGGAUGCAUGUUCUGUGGUGGAAAGCUUUUGCGGUGUGGGAUGGGCCCGCGGCCUAUCAGCUUGUUGGUGGGGUGAUGGCCUACCAAGGCGACGACGGGUAGCCGGCCUGAGAGGGUGUCCGGCCACACUGGGACUGAGAUACGGCCCAG
This 230-nucleotide ribosomal RNA is filed under the name uncultured bacterium. Its description in RNAcentral is "partial 16S ribosomal RNA". It matches the Rfam family "Bacterial small subunit ribosomal RNA", at positions 103 to 334 of the family's 1533-position model. The record is from RNAcentral.